This 1219-nucleotide long non-coding RNA is filed under the name Papio anubis (olive baboon). RNAcentral's name for it is "lncRNA (ENSPANG00000041573.1)". Lineage: Eukaryota; Metazoa; Chordata; Mammalia; Primates; Cercopithecidae. The record is from RNAcentral.
ACAGGUGGUUGAGAAAAAAAAAAUGAAAAGGCCGUUCCUAAAAAAGCUUAUUCAAUUAAAGCCUCAGAGAGAAAGGAGAAAACACGUGAUGUACCCUUCAGUAAAUACUGCUUUCAGAAAAGGAGCUGAUCUUACUGUCCUGAAAACGCUGAAGUGCAGCGGCACAUCUCUGCCUACUGCAGUGUCCACCUCCCAGGCUCAAGCGAUUCUCCUGCCUCAGCCUCCUGAGUAACUGAGAAGACAGGCACACACCACCACGCCCUGUUUAUUAUUAUUAUUAUCUUGUAUUUUUAGUAGAGACAGGUUUCACUUUGUUGGCCAGGCUGGUCCCGAAAUCCUGGCCUCAAGUGAUCCAUCCACACUGGCCUCCCAAAGUGCAGGGAUUACAGGUGUGAGUCACAGUGUCCGUCCAAAAAGUUCUUGCUAAUAAAAUUGCAAGCUUGCUAAACAGGCAAGUUUUGGCAAACCAGCAUAAUCUUUUUUUUUCUUGACUGCUGUUUUAUAUUGUACUUCUUUUGUAAGCAUCAUCACUUAAACUACUUCUGAUAUUGUAAUUUAUUAAUAUAUAGAAGUCGAUAUUGAUCUUGACAUAGCAUUUUUUUACUGUUAUCUAGACUUAUCUAAUCAAUUGUAAUAUGUUUCUAUGCUGUUGAACUUUAUUUGAGUUUAUACAUGUAUUUAAAAAUAAGUAAAGUCAUAUUUUAUUUAUAUUAUAGUUUUAUUGAUUGCUUUCAUUUUUCAUGAUAACAUUUUACAUAUCUUGGUAGAAUAAAAAGAAUGUAAGAAUUCCAGGCACAAGAACAAGGCCCCAGGUCAGAUUUUUCAUUUUCUUUCUGUGUUUCCUUGGGCAAGACACUUCAUGAUUAAGUCAAUUUCCAUUUCUAAAAUGGAUUUUAUAAUCCCCCCUCCAAUAUGUUUUGACAAAUUGGGUAAAAGAAAGUGCUUUCUUCUGCAAGUAGCAAAAUACCUGGCAAAUGUUACAUCAUUAUUUCUUUUUAGUCUUGUAUGCUUACAAUUUAUAGAAUGUAAUAUAUAGUUUAUGCUUAUUGUAUUUAUAUGUAAAAAUACACAGAUAUGCAAGCUCUACCAAAGUUCAAGGUAUAAGUCGCUCUGAGAUAUUAAGAACAGAUAAAGUAUUACUUUUUAUUAAUAUGUAAUUUAUUUAUGUUUCAACAAUAUAAUUACACUUAUUUUAAUAUUUCAUAUUCUGUAAUCUUUC